This 392-nucleotide ribosomal RNA is filed under the name Ruvettus pretiosus (oilfish). RNAcentral's name for it is "partial 12S ribosomal RNA". It matches the Rfam family "Bacterial small subunit ribosomal RNA", at positions 789 to 1384 of the family's 1533-position model. Lineage: Eukaryota; Metazoa; Chordata; Actinopteri; Scombriformes; Gempylidae. The record is from RNAcentral.
ACUAUGCCUAGCCAUAAACAUUGAUAGAAAAUACACCCCCUAUCCGCCCGGGUACUACGAGCACUAGCUUGAAACCCAAAGGACUUGGCGGUACUUUAGAUCCCCCUAGAGGAGCCUGUUCUAUAACCGAUGACCCCCGUUCAACCUCACCCUCCCUUGUUUUUCCCGCCUAUAUACCGCCGUCGUCAGCUUACCCCAUGAGGGACCAAUAGUAAGCAAAACUGGCACCGCCCAGAACGUCAGGUCGAGGUGUAGCGUAUGAGAGGGGAAGAAAUGGGCUACAUUUGCUAACGUAGCAAAUACGAACGAUGCACUGAAAACGUUCAUCCGAAGGAGGAUUUAGCAGUAAGUGGGAAAUAGAGUGUCCCGCUGAAAUCGGCUCUGAAGUGCGU